GCACUGCUGACGAGUCCUACAACAGGACGAAAUGCCCAUCCAGUGC
Molecule: non-coding RNA, 46 nt
Organism: Schistosoma curassoni
Lineage: Eukaryota; Metazoa; Platyhelminthes; Trematoda; Strigeidida; Schistosomatidae
Source: Rfam